Molecule: ribosomal RNA, 549 nt
Filed under: uncultured bacterium
Lineage: Bacteria
Description: partial 16S ribosomal RNA
Rfam family: Bacterial small subunit ribosomal RNA
Source: RNAcentral
UGGGGAAUUUUGGACAAUGGGGGAAACCCUGAUCCAGCCAUCCCGCGUGUGCGAUGAAGGCCUUCGGGUUGUAAAGCACUUUUGGCAGGAAAGAAACGUCGCGGGUUAAUACCCCGCGAAACUGACGGUACCUGCAGAAUAAGCACCGGCUAACUACGUGCCAGCAGCCGCGGUAAUACGUAGGGUGCAAGCGUUAAUCGGAAUUACUGGGCGUAAAGCGUGCGCAGGCGGUUCGGAAAGAAAGAUGUGAAAUCCCAGAGCUUAACUUUGGAACUGCAUUUUUAACUACCGGGCUAGAGUGUGUCAGAGGGAGGUGGAAUUCCGCGUGUAGCAGUGAAAUGCGUAGAUAUGCGGAGGAACACCGAUGGCGAAGGCAGCCUCCUGGGAUAACACUGACGCUCAUGCACGAAAGCGUGGGGGAGCAAACAGGAUUAGAUACCCUGGUAGUCCACGCCCUAAAACGAUGUCAACUAGCUGUUGGGGCCUUCGGGCCUUGGUAGCGCAGCUAACGCGUGAAGUUGACCGCCUGGGGAGUACGGUCGCAAGAUU